Molecule: ribosomal RNA, 497 nt
Filed under: uncultured bacterium
Lineage: Bacteria
Description: partial 16S ribosomal RNA
Rfam family: Bacterial small subunit ribosomal RNA
Source: RNAcentral
GAUGAACGCUGGCGGCGUGCCUAAUACAUGCAAGUCGAGCGAACAGACGAGGAGCUUGCUCCUCUGACGUUAGCGGCGGACGGGUGAGUAACACGUGGAUAACCUACCUAUAAGACUGGGAUAACUUCGGGAAACCGGAGCUAAUACCGGAUAAUAUAUUGAACCGCAUGGUUCAAUAGUGAAAGACGGUUUUGCUGUCACUUAUAGAUGGAUCCGCGCCGCAUUAGCUAGUUGGUAAGGUAACGGCUUACCAAGGCAACGAUGCGUAGCCGACCUGAGAGGGUGAUCGGCCACACUGGAACUGAGAAACGGUCCAGACUCCUACGGGAGGCAGCAGUAGGGAAUCUUCCGCAAUGGGCGAAAGCUUGACGGAGCAACGCCGCGUGAGUGAUGAAGGUCUUCGGAUCGUAAAACUCUGUUAUUAGGGAAGAACAAAUGUGUAAGUAACUAUGCACGUCUUGACGGUACCUAAUCAGAAAGCCACGGAUAACUACGUG